AUUGAACGCUGGCGGCAGGCCUAACACAUGCAAGUCGAGCGAGCGGCGGACGGGUGAGUAAGGUGUGGGGACUGCCCGAUAGAGGGGGGUAAAAACUGGAAACGGUAGGUAAAACCGCAUACUAUCGGGUAGACCAUAUGGGAUUAGCUAGUAGGUGAGGUAAUGGCUAACUUAGGCGACGAUCCCUAGCUGGUCUCAGAGGAUGAUCAGCCACACUGGGUCUGAGACACGGCCCAGACUCCUCCGGAGGCAGCAGUGGGGAAUAUUGCACAAUGGGCGCAAGCCUGAUGCAGCCAUGCCGCGUGUAUGAAGAAGGCCCUAGGGUUGUAAAGUACUUUCAGUCGGGAGGCGUUACCGACAGAAGAAGCACCGGCUAACUCCGUGCCAGCAGCCGCGGUAAUUC
This 403-nucleotide ribosomal RNA is filed under the name uncultured bacterium. Its description in RNAcentral is "partial 16S ribosomal RNA". It matches the Rfam family "Bacterial small subunit ribosomal RNA", at positions 30 to 526 of the family's 1533-position model. The record is from RNAcentral.